UAUAAUUUGAGCUUAAAAAACUAAUAAAAGAAUUAAGGGUUAAAGGCCCAUGAACCAGAGUCGACAGUCCUCCGAGUUUACUCAGAUCUGUUUGUCUUUCCUUCCCGACAAAUAGGGAGAAGCAGAUAUAACUAAUAUUCCUCCAUCGCCGUAGCCGUAGCCAUAGCCAUGGCGAUUCGCUCCUUUCUUAUUCUCUUUAUUCUCUUCUUUUUUUCUUCUUUAAAUCCAAUCCUUUCUCUUUAUGAAGAUCAAGUAGGCCUGGUGGAUUGGCAUCAACAAUACCUCGGGAAAGUGAAGCAAGCUGUGUUCCACACUCAUAAAACUGGUCGGAAACGAGUUGUAGUAUCCACUGAAGAGAACGUUGUAGCUUCACUUGAUCUCCGCCAAGGCGAGAUUUUUUGGAGACAUGUUCUUGGGUCUAACGAUGUUAUCGAUGGAAUCGAUAUUGCUCUUGGAAAGUAUGUCAUUACCCUUUCAUCAGGAGGAAGUAUUUUGAGAGCAUGGAAUCUUCCCGAUGGGCAGAUGGUGUGGGAAUCUUCUCUUCGGGGUCCAAAGCACUCAAAAUCAUUGUUUUUAGUGCGGACAAAUUUGAAAAUUGAAAAGGAUAAUAUAGUCAUCAUUUUCAGCAAUGGUCGUCUUAAUGCUGUUUCCUGCAUAGAUGGCGAAGUUCUCUGGGAGAAGGAUUUUGAAGGAGAAAGUCUCAAGGUUCAGCAGGUAAUUCAGCCUCCUGGCAGUAAUUUAAUAUACGUUGUAGGAUUUGUUUCUUCAUCCCUGUUUGAGAUGUAUCAAAUCAAUGCCUUGAAUGGAGAGUUGUUGAAGCAUGAAAGUGCUGCCUUUUCUGGUGGGUUUUUGGGAGAAGUUUCACCUGUUUUCAGUGAGACAGUUGUGGCCCUUGAUUCCACAGGGUUGAUUUUGCUGACAAUAAGUUUCCAAAAUGGAAAGAUUAGUUUUCACCAGACGCCAAUUUCAAAUCUUGUCAAGGAUUCCUUUGGACCGGCUAAAAUAAUAACUUCAUCAGUUACAGGAAUAUUUGCAAUUAAAAUGAAUGCAGUUACCAUAGUUAUUAGAGUGAAAGAUGAGAGCAAGCUGGAAGUGGUGGAAAAAACAAAUCAUGAAACAUCUAUUAGUGAUGCUCUCUCAAUCUCUGAGGGCCAACAAGCAUUUGCAUUGGUUCAACAUGCAAGCCACGAGAUUCAUCUCAGAGUAAAGCUUGCUCACAAUUGGGAUGAUAAUUUGCUUAAGGAAAGUGUUAAAAUGGACCAGCAUCGUGGGCUGGUCCACAAGGUUUACAUCAAUAAUUAUAUCAGAACCGAUAAGUCUUAUGGAUUUAGGGCAUUGAUUGUGAUGGAAGAUCAUUCAUUGUUGUUAUUGCAACAAGGUGAGAUUGUCUGGAGCAGGGAAGAUGGUUUGGCAUCAAUAAUUGAUGUCACGACUUCAGAACUCCCUGUGGAAAGGGAUGGUGUAUCUGUUGCAAAAGUGGAGCACAACCUCUUUGAAUGGCUUAAGGGUCAUAUGCUGAAGCUCAAGGGAACACUAAUGCUUGCAAGCCCUCAGGAUGUAGCAGCCAUACAAAGUAUGAGAUUAAAAAAUUCCGAGAAGAGCAAAAUGACUCGAGAUCACAAUGGCUUUCGGAAGCUGCUUAUAGUACUAACAAGGGCAGGGAAGCUUUUUGCAUUGCAUACUGGAGAUGGACAUAUUGUCUGGUCUUACUUGUUACAGUCUUUACAAAAAUCAAAGGUGUGUCAACAUCCGAUAGGACUAAACUUGUACAAGUGGCAAGUUCCGCAUCAUCACGCUAUGGAUGAAAAUCCAUCUGUGCUUGUAAUUGGCAAGUGUGGUCCAAGUUCUGAUGCACCAGGUGCACUUUCUUUUGUUGACACUUAUACAGGAAAGGAGCUUAGUUCUUUAAGUCUUGUUCAUUCGGUUGCACAAGUUAUUCCACUGCCGUAUACAGAUUCAACAGAACAAUGUCUCCAUCUGUUAAUUGAUGCUGAUAAGCAUGCACAUUUAUACCCCAAAACACCCGAGGCUAUUAGUACUUUCGAACGUGAGUUUUCAAACAUAUACUGGUACUCUGUUGAGGAUGAUAAUGGCAUAAUCAAGGGGCAUGCUUUGAGGGGCAAGUGCACUGGUGAAGUGGCUGAUGAAGUCUGCUUUGACACCAGGGAGUUGUGGUCAAUUGUGUUCCCCUCAGAAUCAGAAAAGAUCAUUGCAAUUGUCACUAGAAAACUGAAUGAGGUGGUACAUACUCAAGCAAAGGUUAUAGCAGACCAGGAGGUCAUGUAUAAAUAUAUAUCAAGAAAUCUACUUUUUGUGGCAACUGUUGCACUCAAAGGCAGUGUUGAAAUUGGAUCUGUUACACCAGAAGAAUCGUGGUUAGUUGCAUAUCUUAUUGACACUGUAACAGGCCGUAUAUUGCACCGAGUGACCCAUCAUGGCUCACAGGGUCCUGUUCAUGCUGUUUUUAGUGAGAACUGGGUUGUCUAUCACUACUUCAAUCUUAAAGCGCACAGAUAUGAGAUGUCAGUCAUUGAAAUUUAUGACCAAUCUCGGGCUGACAACAAAGAUGUUUGGAAGCUUGUUCUUGGAAAGCACAACCUUACCUCGCCGAUUUCUCUAUAUUCUCGCCCAGAUGUCAUAACAAAAUCGCAAUCUUACUUUUUCACUCAUUCUGUGAAAGCCAUAGCUGUGACCUCAACCACAAAGGGUAUUACUUCAAAGCAGCUUCUAAUCGGUACAAUUGGUGAUCAGGUUUUGGCACUUGAUAAGCGUUUCUUGGAUCCUCGUCGAACAGUUAAUCCCACACAAGCAGAGAAAGAAGAGGGCAUUAUACCACUAACCGAUUCAUUGCCAAUCAUUCCUCAGUCCUAUGUUACACAUGCCCUUCGAGUGGAAGGUCUUCGAGGUAUAAUAACCGUGCCUGCUAAGCUGGAAUCAACAACCCUCGUCUUUGCACAUGGUGUGGACCUCUUUUUUACUCAACUUGCACCAUCGAGGACAUACGAUUCACUCACAGACGAUUUUAAUUACGCCCUGCUCCUCAUAACAAUCGUGGCACUCUUGGCAGCAAUCUUUGUAACCUGGACUUUGUCCGAGAGGAAAGAACUACAAGAAAACUGGAGAUGAGUAAGUCUGGGCUUAAUGUUCAUUUACAUUUGUGUACUAACAAAAUACACUUUGUUUUAGUUGACAGAGAUGCUUUUUAUGAUUUGAGCUUAGAUUUGGAGGAAAAAUACAAGGAAUAGAAUAUGUUCAGCAUGUAUCUACUUAUCACGAAAGAAUAUGAGAAUUGAUUCAUCCAUUAAGUAUCAGAGGAGCUUUCUAGGGAAUAUCAACCCUUCAACGGGUAAUUUCGUAUCGUCAAAGGCAGUUUAUUAACACAAUUCAUCAUCAAUUGCCUUAUAUAUUGAAUUCUCCAAUUGCUCUGUAAUGGAAAUUGAGAUUUAAACAUAACCACUAUCACCAUAAAUGCAUGUUGAAUAUAUUCAUAAUUAUUCAA
This is an RNA transcript of Gossypium arboreum, 3499 nucleotides long. RefSeq lists it as uncharacterized. The record is from RefSeq and is a predicted model, not a curated record. The transcript has 13 exons. Lineage: Eukaryota; Viridiplantae; Streptophyta; Magnoliopsida; Malvales; Malvaceae.